This 564-nucleotide ribosomal RNA is filed under the name uncultured bacterium. RNAcentral's name for it is "partial 16S ribosomal RNA". It matches the Rfam family "Bacterial small subunit ribosomal RNA", at positions 355 to 912 of the family's 1533-position model. The record is from RNAcentral.
UGGGGAAUUUUGGACAAUGGGCGAAAGCCUGAUCCAGCAAUGCCGCGUGAGUGAAGAAGGCCUUCGGGUUGUAAAGCUCUUUUGUCAGGGAAGAAACGGUGAAAGCUAAUAUCUUUUGCUAAUGACGGUACCUGAAGAAUAAGCACCGGCUAACUACGUGCCAGCAGCCGCGGUAAUACGUAGGGUGCAAGCGUUAAUCGGAAUUACUGGGCGUAAAGCGUGCGCAGGCGGUUUUGUAAGUCUGAUGUGAAAUCCCCGGGCUCAACCUGGGAAUUGCAUUGGAGACUGCAAGGCUAGAAUCUGGCAGAGGGGGGUAGAAUUCCACGUGUAGCAGUGAAAUGCGUAGAUAUGUGGAGGAACACCGAUGGCGAAGGCAGCCCCCCUGGGUCAAGAUUGACGCUCAUGCACGAAAGCGUGGGGAGCAAACAGGAUUAGAUACCCUGGUAGUCCACGCCCUAAACGAUGUCUACUAGUUGUCGGGUCUUAAUUGACUUGGUAACGCAGCUAACGCGUGAAGUAGACCGCCUGGGGAGUACGUCGCAAGAUUAAAACUCAAAUGAAUUG